UACAGAGGGGGCAAGCGUUAUUCGGAAUUAUUGGGCGUAAAGGGCGCGUAGGCGGCCUGGCAAGUGGAAGGUGAAAUCCCUCGGCUUAACCGAGGAACUGCCCUCCAAACUGCUUGGCUUGAGUCCGGGAGAGGUGAGUGGAAUUCCCAGUGUAGCGGUGAAAUGCGUAGAUAUUGGGAGGAACACCAGUGGCGAAGGCGGCUUCCUGGCCUGUAACUGACGCUGAGACGCGAAAGCGUGGGGAGCGAACCGG
RNAcentral lists this ribosomal RNA (253 nucleotides) under uncultured bacterium. Its description in RNAcentral is "partial 16S ribosomal RNA". It matches the Rfam family "Bacterial small subunit ribosomal RNA", at positions 524 to 776 of the family's 1533-position model. The record is from RNAcentral.